This 847-nucleotide non-coding RNA is filed under the name Palaeoagraecia brunnea. RNAcentral's name for it is "12S ribosomal RNA". The stretch from base 380 to 840 matches the Rfam family "Microsporidia small subunit ribosomal RNA", at positions 752 to 1303 of the family's 1311-position model. Lineage: Eukaryota; Metazoa; Arthropoda; Insecta; Orthoptera; Tettigoniidae. The record is from RNAcentral.
UUAAAGUUUUAUUCUUGCUUAUUUAUUUAUUGAUUGAAUGAUUUACAUGAAAAUUUUUGUAAGGGGUAAUAACAUCUAAAGGAUAAUAAUUAUUAUUCUCAGUAUUUGGUAUUAGUGAAGUCAAGGAAAUUUGGAGUUAGUAAUUUGAUAUAUGGUCGGCUAAAAUUGUGCCAGCUGCCGCGGUUAGACUUAGGACUUAAAUAAAUAUUAUUGGUGAUGGAGUUAAUUGGAUAAUAGUAAAAAGGUGUUAAAUUUUUUUAUGAAGGUGAAAUUUUUGAUGAAGAAUGACAUUUUAUUUAAUGUAAUGAAGCUUUGAAAUUUAAAAUUUAAACUAGGAUUAGAUACCCUAUUAUUUUAAAUGUAAAUUUUUAUAAUACUAGAGUAGUAAGAGGUAAGUUCUUGAAACUCAAAGAAUUUGGCGGUGUUUUAGUCUUUUCAGAGGAAUCUGUUCUGUAAUUGAUAAUACACAUUAAAUUUAGCUUAAUCUUGUAGUCUCAGUUUGUAUACCGCCGUCAUAAGAUUAUCUUUUUAGAGAAAGAAUUUUCUGGAUCUUUGGAAGACAGAAGGUAGAGAAGAAAAAAGUGAAUCUGAGGAAGAUUUAAUGGUAGAAAAGAGUAUGUCAGGUCAAGGUGCAGCUUAUGAUUAAGUAAGAGAUGGAUUACAAUAAAAUAAUUUAAAUGGAUGGGAUAUUGAAAUAUGUGCCGGAAGGUGGAUUUGAAAGUAAUACUAUUAUAUUAUGAUAGUAUGAUUAUAGCUCUAAAGCAUGUACACAUCGCCCGUCGCUCUCAUUAUAAGGUGAGAUAAGUCGUAACAAAGUAGGUGUACUGGAAAGUGUAUCUAGAAUGAA